UACGAACGGGGCUAGCGUUGUUCGGAAUCACUGGGCGUAAAGCGCACGCAGGCGGAUCGAUAAGUCGGGGGUGAAAGCCCGGGGCUCAACCUCGGAAUUGCCUUCGAUACUGUCGGUCUCGAGUCCGGGAGAGGUGAGCGGAAUUCCUAGUGUAGAGGUGAAAUUCGUAGAUAUUAGGAAGAACACCAGUGGCGAAGGAGGCUCACUGGCCCGGUAAUGACGCUCAGGUGCGAAAGCGUGGGGAGCAAACAGG
Molecule: ribosomal RNA, 253 nt
Filed under: uncultured bacterium
Lineage: Bacteria
Description: partial 16S ribosomal RNA
Rfam family: Bacterial small subunit ribosomal RNA
Source: RNAcentral